RNAcentral lists this ribosomal RNA (312 nucleotides) under Bacillus sp. LYLB4. RNAcentral describes it as "bacterial SSU rRNA". It matches the Rfam family "Bacterial small subunit ribosomal RNA", at positions 1 to 302 of the family's 1533-position model. Lineage: Bacteria; Bacillati; Bacillota; Bacilli; Caryophanales; Bacillaceae. The record is from RNAcentral.
UUUAUCGGAGAGUUUGAUCCUGGCUCAGGACGAACGCUGGCGGCGUGCCUAAUACAUGCAAGUCGAGCGGACAGAUGGGAGCUUGCUCCCUGAUGUUAGCGGCGGACGGGUGAGUAACACGUGGGUAACCUGCCUGUAAGACUGGGAUAACUCCGGGAAACCGGGGCUAAUACCGGAUGGUUGUUUGAACCGCAUGGUUCAGACAUAAAAGGUGGCUUCGGCUACCACUUACAGAUGGACCCGCGGCGCAUUAGCUAGUUGGUGAGGUAACGGCUCACCAAGGCGACGAUGCGUAGCCGACCUGAGAGGGUG